RNAcentral lists this transfer RNA (75 nucleotides) under Candidatus Altimarinota bacterium. RNAcentral's name for it is "tRNA-Arg". It matches the Rfam family "tRNA". Rfam says of the family: Transfer RNA (tRNA) molecules are approximately 80 nucleotides in length. Lineage: Bacteria; Candidatus Altimarinota. The record is from RNAcentral.
GCAGCCGUAUUUCAACGGAUAGAAUGCGGCCCUGCGAAGGCUGCGAUAUAGGUUCGAUUCCUAUCGGCUGUACCA